AUGCAACGAGAGGCUCCAAACCCGCUCUUUCUUUGGGAGCCCCGGGCCACGGCUGUUGGCCCUGCUCGCUCCCUUCCUUGCCUCCUCCUGGCCUACGUUGCUGUGGUCUCACACACCCCUCGGAGCCUCCUUAGGCAGUUUCUCCAAAACCAGAGGUUAUUUAGGAGUGUUGUGCAUGCGUGGCACACGACAUUUCGCUCGCUGUCGGCCCGGGGUGUCUCGGCCUGCCCACAGCGCUUACCCGCUGCCAUGCCCGCGCCCCUGCCUUGGGUCCCACCUCAGGCCAGGCCCUGUGCAGAAGCACCGUGUGCGUGCUGCCCGCGGGCCGGCUUUGCAGAUCACACCCCGAAGAACCCCCCAAGGCGCCAUGUGGCCGGAUCAGAGCCACGUUUAUCACCGAGAGGGGAGGUUUCAGCCACCCCCCCUCAGCGCUGUGGCUGCCGCCGCCCCGCACCUGGCAGCGCAGCGGCGCCGCAGCGGGAGCGGUGCGGAGCCCUCAGGACCACCGGCGGCCCGCUUCGGCCCACUUCAACCCAGUUCGGCCCGUUUCGAGCCAGUUCAGCCCGGCCCAGCCCGGCCCGGCCCCGGCCCGGCCCCGGGGCGGUGCCGGGCGUCCCCCCGCUGAGGAGCCGCCGCCGUCGCAGCCCGCUCGGAGGCGGCGGGCGCCGCAGCCGGCAUCAUGAACCAGACGGCGACCGUGUCGCACCAGGGGCAGUGCCAGUCCUCCAGGGCCGCCAAGGUAGGGCCGGGACCCGGGCUCGGGAGGCCGGGGGGAGCCGGGGCGGUGGCCGUGGAGAGCGUGGGGAAAGUUUUCGGUUUCCUCGCCCCCUCGGCGGCUGCCCGAAGUUUGCCCGGAGGAGCUGCCGGAGUGCCUCGGGGGGACGGGGUCGGGGUCUUGGGGGGACCGGGGCUGGGGGUGGCGCCUNNNNNNNNNNNNNNNNNNNNGGGGUUGGGGGGGGGCGGGGGCUGGGGGUGUCGCCUCCCCUGCCCCCUGCCUCUCCCCUGUGCCCCGGAUCGAUCCGGAGCUGCUUCCUCGGCGAGGUGUGUGGCGAUCAGAUGAAGCCCCCGGGCAGGUUUGUAUUCACUGAAAAGCCUCUCUGUAGAGAGAAGUGCUUUUAUUAUUACUGUUAUUAUUGUUUCUCCCUUGGAAAUAAGCUGGUAACACAGCCAGCGACCUGCAUUUGGAUAUUGAUGCUUAGCUGUGAAAACCUAACACCCAGAAACUUUGCAGCAGCGAUUCGGCUGCCUCCGAGCAUGCUGUGGGAUGGAUGGGUGCCCCUCGGGGGCCGGGGCGCUGUGGGGCCUUCGCCCCAGGUCAGCCCUCCAGGACAAGGCUGCUUUGUCUGGUAUCUGCGGGGAAUGGGAUUUGGGGCCGGGAGCUGA
This 1383-nucleotide long non-coding RNA is filed under the name Anser cygnoides (Swan goose). RNAcentral's name for it is "lncRNA (ENSACDG00005005351.1)". The record is from RNAcentral. Lineage: Eukaryota; Metazoa; Chordata; Aves; Anseriformes; Anatidae.